RNAcentral lists this ribosomal RNA (523 nucleotides) under uncultured eukaryote. Its description in RNAcentral is "SSU rRNA". It matches the Rfam family "Eukaryotic small subunit ribosomal RNA", at positions 21 to 549 of the family's 1831-position model. The record is from RNAcentral.
UAGUCAUAUGCUUGUCUCAAAGAUUAAGCCAUGCAUGUCUAAGUAUAUGCAAUUAUACAGCGAAACUGCGAAUGGCUCAUUAUAUAAGUUAUCGUUUAUUUGAUAGUACCUUACUACUUGGAUAACCGUGGUAAUUCUAGAGCUAAUACAUGCUAAAAAUCCCGACUUCGGAAGGGAUGUAUUUAUUAGAUUAAAAACCAAUGCCCUCUGGGCUCUCCGGUGAUUCAUGAUAACUUCUCGAAUCGCAUGGCCUUGCGCCGGCGAUGGUUCAUUCAAAUUUCUUCCCUAUCAACUUUCGAUGUUUGGGUAUUGGCCAAACAUGGUCGCAACGGGUAACGGAGGGUUAGGGCUCGACCCCGGAGAAGGAGCCUGAGAAACGGCUACUACAUCCAAGGAAGGCAGCAGGCGCGCAAAUUACCCAAUCCCGACACGGGGAGGUAGUGACAAUAAAUACUGAUACAGGGCUCUUUCGGGUCUUGUAAUUGGAAUGAGUACAAUUUAAAUCCCUUAACGAGGAACAAUU